This 327-nucleotide ribosomal RNA is filed under the name uncultured eukaryote. RNAcentral's name for it is "partial 18S ribosomal RNA". It matches the Rfam family "Eukaryotic small subunit ribosomal RNA", at positions 1470 to 1796 of the family's 1831-position model. The record is from RNAcentral.
CCCUUAGAUGUUCUGGGCCGCACGCGCGCUACACUGACGAAUGCAACGAGCUUAUAACCUUGGCCGAAAGGUCUGGGUAAUCUCCAAAUUUCGUCGUGAUGGGGAUAGAUUAUUGCAAUUAUUAAUCUUCAACGAGGAAUGCCUAGUAAGCGCAAGUCAUCAGCUUGCGUUGAUUACGUCCCUGCCCUUUGUACACACCGCCCGUCGCUCCUACCGAUUGAAUGGUCCGGUGAAGCGCUCGGACCGCGGCCUCUUGACGGUUCGCCGUCUGUUGGCUGCGGGAAGUUCGUUAAACCUUAUCAUUUAGAGGAAGGAGAAGUCGUANCA